CCUACGGGAGGCAGCAGUAGGGAAUAUUGGUCAAUGGACGAAAGUCUGAACCAGCAAUGCCGCGUGCAGGAAGACGGCUCUAUGAUUUGUAAACUGCUUUUGUACAAGGGUAAAUCUGAAUACGUGUAUUCUGCUGACAGUACUGUACGAUUCAGGAUCGGCUAACUCCGUGCCAGCAGCCGCGGUAAUACGGAGGGUCCAAGCGUUCACCGGAUUUAUGGGGCUUAAAGGGUUCGUAGGCGGAUUUAUAAGUUAGAGGUGAAAUGUCCGAGCUUAACUCGGGAACUGCAUGUAAUACUGUUGAUCUAGAGAAUAGGUGAGGUAGGCGGAAUGUAUGGUGUAGCGGUGAAAUGCUUAGAGAUCAAACAGAACACUGAUUGCGAAGGCAGCCUACCAGUCUAUAUCUGACGUUGAGGCACGAAAGCGUGGGGAGCAAACAGGAUUAGAUACCCUAGUAGUC
RNAcentral lists this ribosomal RNA (460 nucleotides) under uncultured bacterium. RNAcentral's name for it is "partial 16S ribosomal RNA". It matches the Rfam family "Bacterial small subunit ribosomal RNA", at positions 338 to 795 of the family's 1533-position model. The record is from RNAcentral.